This 271-nucleotide ribosomal RNA is filed under the name uncultured bacterium. RNAcentral describes it as "partial 16S ribosomal RNA". It matches the Rfam family "Bacterial small subunit ribosomal RNA", at positions 524 to 794 of the family's 1533-position model. The record is from RNAcentral.
UACGGAGGGAGCUAGCGUUGUUCGGAAUUACUGGGCGUAAAGCGCACGUAGGCGGCGAUUUAAGUCAGUGGUGAAAGCCCGAGGCUCAACCUCGGAACUGCCAUUGAUACUGAAAUUCUUGAAUGUAGUUGAUGUGGGCGGAAUGUGCCAUGUAGCGGUGAAAUGCUUAGAUAUGGCACAGAACACCGAUCGUGAAGACAGCUCACAAAACUAUUAUUGACGCUCAGGCACGAAAGCGUGGGGAUCAAACAGGAUUAGAAACCCGUGUAGU